AAGCAUGACAAAUAUUAAUUAAACCAUAAGCACAAUGCAAGGAAGAGACAACAGAUAGAUAAUCAUAUACAUAGGCACCACAUAUGUGAAUGUGAUGUGAUUCCACGUAAACCAUAACUUGGUCUAGUAAUAUCAAAUACAUUAAUCAUAAUUCCUAGCAUCUUUAUAAAGCCCGUAAAACUAAUCCACCCAGCUAAAAUCACAACAAAACACCCAACCAACACACAAAAUUAACUUUCAUUUAUACUAAAAAUCAUCAUCAUCAAGUAAUCGUUUGUAGCCUUAAGUCCAAAUAUGCAAGUAACAGACCCUAUACUCUCACGCCCCAAUUGAUUAACUAUACCAGCGACAUAUAGAAUUUCAAAAUAAAAACAAUCAAUGGGAUACCAAUUACGAAGUUUAUAGAUCAAUUAAAAACUUGUAUAGCAUGCGUCCACCAUGAUUAAGGUGCUUCAAUUGUCUUCUUCAUCUCAAUCCAUCCAAGGCCACUUUCACCAAAUUUCAAUUUCUUGAAAAUCAGAAAAUCCCCUUUCAUUUUCUCCUAGUGAUUCUUCAUUUGUUUAUGAACAAACAACACAUUCAUUUGUGUGUGGGAGUCCUUGCUGAACAUUGGUCCCGCUUUCCUUGUUUAGCGUAGUCCCAACCCGAUUCUCCUUAACUACCUCACUGGCGCAUAGCUCAACAAAGAGUGUGUGAAUUUCUUCCGUCCACUUAAACGAUCCCGACAUCUACAAAUAUAUACAUAUAAACAUGUCCAGAAUUGAAGCUAGUUACAUAUAUAUGUUAGAAAUUCAUUACCGUUAACGGAUGAGAAGGAGAGCUAGAGGUUUAAAUCGAUUACCACCAGUGAUUUUGUUAAUUAAAAAGCAGCUACGAGAAGAAGAGAUAUGGGGGAAUAGCGCUGUUGUCACCGUUGAAAAAGAGAUCUGCUAGCUCGUUUUCUAUUAAAAAGAAGCAGAAGUUGAGUCUAAAAAGAAGCUACGUUACGUAGCUUUUUUUUCCGAGCUUCUAUUCGUUUAAUUAAGCGCUUCAUAACAUUUGCCAAAUGGACGUAUAAAAAGUGGAAUUGAGCUUCUACGCUUUUAAGCCCAUAAGUUAUAUUCCCAAACACCCACGAAGAUAUCUGUAGAAUUAUGCCUUAAUU
This 1144-nucleotide long non-coding RNA is filed under the name Daucus carota (carrot). RNAcentral describes it as "long non-coding RNA (DCAR_LNC004076)". The record is from RNAcentral. Lineage: Eukaryota; Viridiplantae; Streptophyta; Magnoliopsida; Apiales; Apiaceae.